AAGGAACCCGCGGCCAGGCGGAGCGGCCGGCCCGGGCUGACGUCGGAAGGGCCGGCACGCACGCGGCGCUCCUUUAUUCCCCGCCUCCCGCGGAGUUCACAGAAGCGCGUCUAGCUGGCGUGACCCGCACGCUUGCCUGUAUCCAAUGGGACGCCCGGAGGCGUGCGUGCGUAAGAGCCGCUGACACCUCCCGCCUCUUCACCUUCUUGGCGUGGAAACCGCGAUAGUGAGGUAGAGCAUCGCUGCUGGCAGUGCUUGUGUCAGGUUUCUCGGUGGUUUCUCUCACGUGCUCCUGCAUCGUUGCACCUUCAUAUCGACGAGAGGGUGCGCCAGCCCGUAUUCCUGGGCUGGGACCAAAGUGCAAGCCACUGAAAUAUUCCUCGAAUUAUGAGGGCAAGGAUUUUCUGUGGUUAUUGGAAUGGCAUCUGAAGCCCCACUGACUGGAAUCCAAUCCUGUCUUCACCGCGUCCUUUGAUUGUUAUGAAGGACCUUCAGGACAUCAUAUAAUUUCACCCAAAAACAUUUCAAUGUGUAUCUGUAAGAGGUCAACAUUAUACGGUGACCCAGAUGGGACCCAAAAGAGAUGAACCCCUGAGGAACGAAUGACCCUCAGAACCAUGUGAAGUACCCACUUGAGUGCCUAGUACUCUCUGCUUCCUUUUAGUUUGGACUGAAGACCUUGUUGAUCCACUCAAUGAACAAGAUCCAGGUGACCCAAGCCUUGUUGUUGGACCUCCACAUAACAUUUAACUGGCUCUUCUGCACCUUGCAUUUCUUGAAGGCUCAUGGAUUCUUAGAAUGAUACACAAGCGAGGGCUUGACUUUGAAAUCUCCGCUUGCAUUAGCACAAAGCAAGAUGGUGAGAUGGUCUUUUUGUGGACUUGUGACCAGGCAUUGCAUUCUCUUCUUCUUUAAUGUAGGUCGUCCUCUUUGGCAUCUCUUUCCAAAAAAGCCCUAUCUCAUUGCAGUUAAAAUCUUGUUCCGGCAGGUAACACUUGGAAACCAUGAUCUUAUGGAACUCAGUAGGAAACGCCUCAGCUGCCUUAGCAUCCGAACUCACAGCCUGUCCGUGCCUCACAAUGCUAUGGAUGCCACCUCUCCUCUUAAAGUUAUCAAACCAUCCCCUGCUUGCCUUGAAGACUUCUUAAUUUUCUGCUGAUGUACCUGGCAGUUUACUUAUGAGGUUGGUGUACAAGGCCUUUGCCUUCUUGCAGAUAAAAGUUCUUGGUCACAGUAUCACCUGCUAGUUGCUUCUCAUUUAUCCAAACCAGAAGCAACUUUUCUACAUUUUCCAGAAUACGUGCCAUUGCUUUGAUAUUCUUGUGACUCCUUUUGCUGCAUCCAGUCCCAUUGUUUCUUCUUUCUUCUUUAAUAUUGUGCAAAUGGUCAACGUAGACUUCUUAUGAAGUCUUGCAAUUUUGGCCACUUGCAUACCUCGUUUGUACUUCUCAGUGAUUUCCUUCUUUUUUUUAUUAAAAAAUUUUUUUUAACGUUUAUUUAUUUUUGAGACAGAGAGAGACAGAGCAUGAAUGGGGGAGGGUCAGAGAGAGCGGGAGACACAGAAUCCGAAACAGGCUUCAGGCUCUGAGCUGUCAACACAGACCCCGCCAUAGGGCUCGAACCCACGGACCGCGAGAUCAUGACCUGAGCCGAAGUCGGACGCUUACACAACUGAGCCACCCAGGUGCCCUGUUUCUCCUUUUUUUUAAACAAAAAUUUUAAUGUUUAUUUUUUGAGAGAGACAGUGCAUAAGUAGGGGAGGGGCAGAGAGAGAGGGCAACACAGAAUCCGAGGGAGGCUCCAGGCUCCGAGCUGUCGGCACAGAGCCCGACGCAGGGCUUGAAUUCACAAACCAAACUGUGACAUCAUGACCUGAGCCGAAGUUGGACACUUAACCGAUGGAACCACCCAGGCACCCUUCAAUGAUUCCUUCUUAACUUCCACCGUAAUCAUCUCCUUCUUACUGCCUUUCUUUUCAACCUUUUUCUGCAUGGGGGCCAUUGUAUAUGCUCGCAUGGAUGUUGACUACAGUACAGUAUUAAUGAACUCUUGCCAUAUACUGUAUUUAAUGUAACUGGCAAUGAGGCAGCAGAGGAAAGGGCUAUAUCUGCCGGCAGCCUGACCUAGAAUGAAGCAAAGCAUUCCUAUGCUUCCUCUUGUAUGGAGAAGGAAAGGACUGUCCAGAGGUGCUUUGAAGUGACAAAAAAUACACUAGUGCCAGUUAUCGGCACCUUCCAGCGUUCUGAAAAAUCACUGAUUUCUGCCAAACACUGUGGCUUGAGACCAAGCAUCCGAGCAUGAGAGGUGAUCACCCACAAUCCUGCAGUGAGAGAGAGAGAGAGAGGAAGAACCAUUGGCUCAGUUGUGAUCAUGUGAUAUUUGGCGUCUUGUACUACUCAUAUUGCAAGACAUCACUUGUUUAUCAAGUUAAAAUUUAUUAGAAAUGUUUGCUUUUCUGUUACUUGCAGUCCAAGGUUUUACUGUAAAGGAAACCUCAUUUAAAAUGGAGUCAGGAAGCCCUGAAGCGAGACCUCUCACACAUUACCACUUGCUGUAAGAAGCCUAUCUCACAUUUCCCUGCAGGAAGCAGCUUACUAUAUGUACCCCAGCCUGAGGAAGGAAGAAUUUCUCCUUGCUCAACAACAUCCCAGCCAGUGAGAACUCAGUGAAACAGCCCCUCCCAGCUUCCUCUCUUCCCCUGUAAAAGCAGAACCCUCUCCUCUGUUCUCUGGGUUUGCCUAUGGUUUGCCAUAGUUUGCUUGUCCUGAAUUGCAAUUCCUCUGCUAUUCCUAAUAAAUUCAUUUUGCUGGUAAAAAUAA
Long non-coding RNA from Neofelis nebulosa (Clouded leopard), 2819 nucleotides. RefSeq lists it as uncharacterized. The record is from RefSeq and is a predicted model, not a curated record. Lineage: Eukaryota; Metazoa; Chordata; Mammalia; Carnivora; Felidae. The transcript is spliced from 4 exons.